UACGUAGGGGGCAAGCGUUGUCCGGAAUCAUUGGGCGUAAAGCGCUCGUAGGCGGUCUGUUGCGUCCGCUGUGAAAACUCGGGGCUUAACCCCGAGCCUGCAGUGGAUACGGGCAGACUAGAGGUAGGUAGGGGAGAAUGGAAUUCCCGGUGUAGCGGUGAAAUGCGCAGAUAUCGGGAGGAACACCGGUGGCGAAGGCGGUUCUCUGGGCCUUACCUGACGCUGAGGAGCGAAAGCGUGGGGAGCGAACAGG
This 253-nucleotide ribosomal RNA is filed under the name uncultured bacterium. RNAcentral's name for it is "partial 16S ribosomal RNA". It matches the Rfam family "Bacterial small subunit ribosomal RNA", at positions 524 to 776 of the family's 1533-position model. The record is from RNAcentral.